CAGUCGAGCGGACAGAGGGAGCUUGCUCCCGGAUGUUAGCGGCGGACGGGUGAGUAACACGUGGGUAACCUGCCUGUAAGACUGGGAUAACUCCGGGAAACCGGAGCUAAUACCGGAUAGUUCCUUGAACCGCAUGGUUCAAGGAUGAAAGACGGUUUCGGCUGUCACUUACAGAUGGACCCGCGGCGCAUUAGCUAGUUGGUGAGGUAACGGCUCACCAAGGCGACGAUGCGUAGCCGACCUGAGAGGGUGAUCGGCCACACUGGGACUGAGACACGGCCCAGACUCCUACGGGAGGCAGCAGUAGGGAAUCUUCCGCAAUGGACGAAAGUCUGACGGAGCAACGCCGCGUGAGUGAUGAAGGUUUUCGGAUCGUAAAGCUCUGUUGUUAGGGAAGAACAAGUGCAAGAGUAACUGCUUGCACCUUGACGGUACCUAACCAGAAAGCCACGGCUAACUACGUGCCAGCAGCCGCGGUAAUACGUAGGUGGCAAGCGUUGUCCGGAAUUAUUGGGCGUAGAGGGCUCGCAGGCGGUUUCUUAAGUCUGAUGUGAAAGCCCCCGGCUCAACCGGGGAGGGUCAUUGGAAACUGGGAAACUUGAGUGCAGAAGAGGAGAGUAGAAAUUCCACGUGUAGCGGUGAAAUGCGUAGAGAUGUGGAGGAACACCAGUGGCGAAGGCGACUCUCUGGUCUGUAACUGACGCUGAGGAGCGAAAGCGUGGGGGAGCGAACAGGAUUACAUACCCUGGUAGUCCACGCC
RNAcentral lists this ribosomal RNA (760 nucleotides) under Bacillus stratosphericus. Its description in RNAcentral is "bacterial SSU rRNA". It matches the Rfam family "Bacterial small subunit ribosomal RNA", at positions 59 to 801 of the family's 1533-position model. Lineage: Bacteria; Bacillati; Bacillota; Bacilli; Caryophanales; Bacillaceae. The record is from RNAcentral.